CGCAAAUAAAAGAGAAACAUGCAAAUUGACUGUCCCUCCACUACGCUCACCAGCCAAACAGGAGCAAUUAUGCAAAUUAACCCAACAAAUAUGGCAGGUUAAUUUGCAUACUCAC
Long non-coding RNA from Pipistrellus kuhlii (Kuhl's pipistrelle), 115 nucleotides. RefSeq lists it as uncharacterized. The transcript is spliced from 3 exons. NCBI's taxonomy places the organism in Eukaryota, Metazoa, Chordata, Mammalia, Chiroptera, Vespertilionidae. The record is from RefSeq and is a predicted model, not a curated record.